RNAcentral lists this ribosomal RNA (305 nucleotides) under uncultured bacterium. Its description in RNAcentral is "bacterial SSU rRNA". It matches the Rfam family "Bacterial small subunit ribosomal RNA", at positions 336 to 655 of the family's 1533-position model. The record is from RNAcentral.
CUCCUACGGGGGGCAGCAGUGGGGAAUAUUGGGCAAUGGAGGCAACUCUGACCCAGCAACGCCGCGUGAAUGAUGAAGGUCUUCGGAUUGUAAAGUUCUUUUCUAAGGGAAGAAGAAAGUGACGGUACCUUAGGAAUAAGCCUCGGCUAACUACGUGCCAGCAGCCGCGGUAAUACGUAGGAGGCAAGCGUUAUCCGGAUUUACUGGGUGUAAAGGGAGCGUAGACGGCGAUGCAAGCCAGAUGUGAAAGCCCGCGGCUCAACUGCGGUAGUGCAUUUGGAACUGUAUGGCUGGAGUGCAGGAGA